AUAUCAAGUAAGACGCCACUUACCCUUAUUAAUAUCUGUUAUCUCAGCAUCAAUGUGAUUAUUAGAGUAAUUAGAAAUUGAGCAGUUAACCGACGAAUUCCAGUACAAAACAAGACCACCACUCUGACCUUGUUUAUUCACAGUAAAACAGAAAUCAAACCCCAGAACAUACUUUAAUUCCUCAGUUUUAUUACUUGUAGAGAUAGUUUCACAAAGAUAGAGGAUAUCCGGUUUAUAAACACGGAUAAGGUAUUUUAAACUAGGAAUUGUAUGGGGACUACCUAACCCCCCUACAAUUCCAACUAAUUAUUUUCAUGGCUGCUGGCGGGGCUGAUUUUCAGCCUCCGCCAUUACAAUUGUUUUAGUAAAUAAAGGGUUGUUUUGCAGAGUUACAGAGUUCACUUCAGCAGCACUACCUUCAUUCACAUAGUCCAGCACCAUAUCACUUGCUUCCUGUUCAAGUACAGCCACCAUGCUUUCAUUAUCUGCCUGAGUUGUACUUGGGCGAAUUCUCUUUUUCACAGCAG
Molecule: long non-coding RNA, 527 nt
Filed under: Medicago truncatula (barrel medic)
Lineage: Eukaryota; Viridiplantae; Streptophyta; Magnoliopsida; Fabales; Fabaceae
Description: long non-coding RNA (MTRU_LNC007105)
Source: RNAcentral